GUGGUUGGUUUCUUGAAGCACUUAGGUGUAUACAGGUAAAGUUUUCUAUACAGCAGGUUAUCUUAUGACACUACAUAUCACUGUGGGCAGUGCAUGGUGUACACCCAGAUCACUAAAAAUACACUUAACACUAAAACUAUACUGAAUAUAAUUUAAACUUUUUUUUGAUGAUUCAGAAGGCACUUCAGGAUC
Long non-coding RNA from Dermochelys coriacea (leatherback sea turtle), 192 nucleotides. RefSeq lists it as uncharacterized. Lineage: Eukaryota; Metazoa; Chordata; Testudines; Dermochelyidae. The record is from RefSeq and is a predicted model, not a curated record. The transcript has 3 exons.